This 119-nucleotide ribosomal RNA is filed under the name Pteropus alecto (black flying fox). Lineage: Eukaryota; Metazoa; Chordata; Mammalia; Chiroptera; Pteropodidae. The record is from RNAcentral.
GUCUAUGGCCAUGCCACCCUGAACAAGCCUGAUGCAUUAUGAUCUUGGAAGCUAAGUAGGGUCUGGCCUGGUUAGUGCUUGGAUGGGAGACCGCCUAGGAAGACCAGGUGCUGUAGGCA